Molecule: small RNA, 504 nt
Filed under: Pongo abelii (Sumatran orangutan)
Lineage: Eukaryota; Metazoa; Chordata; Mammalia; Primates; Hominidae
Description: retained intron
Source: RNAcentral
AGCUACUGUGGGGGCUGUUGAAUUUUUCUCCAAAGCUCAGAUGCCCAGUAUUCCUAGUCUUCGAAAGAGAGAGAGGAAAAUUGAGAGCGAGAGAGAGAGAGAAGAAGUUUUCUUAAUCAGAGAUUUCUCUUUACUUUCAACAAUUUGCAGAUGCUGAUCUUCUGGACAAUCACACUUUUCCUGUUGGGAGCAGCCAAAGGAAAAGAAGUUUGCUAUGAGGACCUUGGGUGCUUUUCUGACACUGAGCCCUGGGGCGGGACAGAAAUCAGGCCCCUGAAAAUUCUCCCCUGGAGCCCUGAGAAGAUUGUCACCCGCUUCCUGCUGUAUACCAAUGAAAACCCAAACAACUUUCAAAUUCUCCUCCUCUCUGAUCCAUGAACAAUUGAGGCAUCAAAUUUUCAAACGGACAGAAAGACCCGGUUCAUCAUCCACGGCUUCAUAGACAAAGGAGAUGAGAGCUGGGUAACAGAUAUGUGCAAGGUAGGAGUCGGCUCUGAUCCCUGU